This 85-nucleotide transfer RNA is filed under the name Felis catus (domestic cat). It matches the Rfam family "tRNA". From Rfam's summary of the family: Transfer RNA (tRNA) molecules are approximately 80 nucleotides in length. Their secondary structure includes four short double-helical elements and three loops (D, anti-codon, and T loops). The record is from Rfam by way of RNAcentral. Lineage: Eukaryota; Metazoa; Chordata; Mammalia; Carnivora; Felidae.
GUCCGGGUGGCUCAGUCGGUUGAGCAUCUGACUUCGACUCAGGUCAUGAUCUCACAGUUCGUGAGUUCGAGCCCCGCGUCGGGCU